Molecule: long non-coding RNA, 457 nt
Organism: Mesocricetus auratus (golden hamster)
Lineage: Eukaryota; Metazoa; Chordata; Mammalia; Rodentia; Cricetidae
Exons: 4
Source: RefSeq, a predicted model, not a curated record
UUCUGCGACCUUUCCCACAGUCGGUUUCUGCAAGACAGUCUCGGGGACUACGAGACUUCAACCACUCUCUAGUGGAGGAGACUGUGUAAGGCCUUCCUCAUAUGUCUGGUGAUUUUUGAUAGUCUCUUCAGCUGUCAGAACAAGCAAUAAGAAGACUCACAGUGGUUCUGUAAGAUGGUAGGCUUUCUCGAAUGCUACGGGAGAGUGGAGACCCAGGUUGUGGGCUUUUCUCACAACUGGGCAGGCGAGAGGAAAACAUGGGCUGUGGGGGCAGUUACCCCCUUUCUGCCUUUAAAAACCGGAUGAAGAACUUCUCAAAACGGAGACAGUAAGGCAUCCAGAGAAGGAGGCCCACGCUCAAGGGCAACCUUCACAGAACUGGCCAGAAGCCAUGGUGGCAAAUCUGACUCCACCAUCCCAGGGCAAGGAGUGGUGUGUUUUCCUCUAGCCAGCUCCC